ACUGGGGAGACGCUCCCCACCCCUCGCGGACUUCGGAAUUGGUUGGCGGCCAGACGGGCGCCGCGGCCGCGGCGCGUUUCCGCAGUUUGUCGAGCCCCGAGGAUGCGCGCCCUGCCAGCCCUGGACGCGCCCCCGCGCGAGCGCCUCCUGUCCCGGGACUCCGGGGCCCCCCGGGCCCGGGACGCGGCGGGGCCGACGCGCAGGAGCGCGGUGGAAAGGCUGGCAGCCGACCGCUCCAAGUACGUGCGGGGCCCGCCGGGAGCCGGCCCAGGCCCGGCUUGCGAGGGCAGCAGCCCCGGGGCGAACCAAGGGCAGGCGGGCGACCCUCGGCCCCCGGCGCGCGUCCCCGGUCCGGUGGCGCGCAGGGCCAUAGCGCGGAAGCCGCUGAGGCCGGACUCGCUGGUUAUCUACCGACAGAAAUGCGAGUUCGUCCGAGGGUCGGGAGCCGACAGCCCCAGGGGAGGCCUGGUGAAGAAGCUCUUCCAGGGGCCGAGCAAGGACAAGACGCCGGGGUCGCCCGGCACGUCCCGGGUGGGAGAGGAGGGCGGGGCCAGGGCUCCGGAGGCCGCCCCGACCGAGCCCGGCCCCGUCGCGGCUCCCGCGGUGCCAGGCCCCUCCGCGCCCCCGGCCCCCGCCCCGCCGGUCAGGGCGCCCUCCAGAGUCCCGGCUGCGCCCCGGGGUCCGGAGCUGCUCGGGGCGAGGCACCGGGGGCUGCAGCGCUCGCAGUCCGACCUCAGCUCGCGCUACUCCGCGUCCUUGGCCGAAUUUGACACUUUCUUCCAGUACUGCGGCCUGGAGCCCGAGGUGGUGGAGGCGCUCGGGCGGGAGAACUUCUCCGCCGGGUCGGACCUCGUCGCCCUCAAGGUCCGCAGCGUGAGCGUCGCCACCUCCGACAGCGGCUUCUCCCGGCACAGCGGCGGCGACGAGGGGCUGCAGGAGGGAGAGCUGACGGAGCAGGUGCCCAGCACCACCUCGGUGGUCGAGAGGAACGCCCGCAUCAUCAAGUGGCUGUACACCUGUAAGAAGGCCAAGGAGACCCCCGGCCAGGAGCUGCAGGGCCCGGCGUGACCGCUGCGCCCCGGGAGACCCGGACCGAGGAAGCAAGCCUUCCCGACAGUGGGGACUCCUUGAAGUACAUCUGGAUGAUUGGGACCCCAGGGCCAUCCUCACUGCCAGGUUUUGUCCAGUGUACCCAGGUGUCCAUAUGAUUGCUGUUUUCCCAGGAAUAAAGCACACCAUUGAAGAAGCCUAAGCAAUUUCAGAAGGUUUGAAGUGCUAUGGAGAAGAUGGGAGCAUAGAACUGGGAAAUUAGCUGAGUUAUAACUGUUACGACACAGCUGAAGCUCUGGAGGAUAUUUUCUUGCGUUAGGUGGACCUAUCCUUGCUUCCAGAGAGCUCCGGAAGAGGGAAAAGCUGCUUGGAAAUAUUUUCAAGGGCAUCUUUUUGAGUGGCUUGCUGACAAAGAGGUACAAUGAUACAUUUUAAUGAUAUCUAAAUUAAUUUUAAAAAGAAAAAAAGGCAAAGAGCAUGAAAAGCAAACAUGAAUGCCACGGUAUUUACUUCUUCAGUCAUAUUGGAUGGAUUGGCACCAUCUAAAUCAAAGUUCUGUGAUCAGAAGAAGUUAUAUUCUACACAAAUUCUCUGGCUAACAAAGAGCAAACACAUGCUCACACUUGCAUACUCACAUGUAAACCUCAAUUUCUAAGCACCACUGCCCUGUAAACUACAGUGAAUUGCCAAACUGUGCAACUGAUCAUCUUAUGAAAUGAAUCAGAAAGCACUUUUAAAACCACUUGUGAGCUGCAAGGUCAUUCUGUGAACGCCACUCCUGUUGGGUUGUAGACAUGCAGAGGUACCAUUAAAAGAUAAAGAGCUGAAAUACUGUUAGGAAACCUUUUCUUGUACCUGGACAGUUCCUUGAGAGUUGGCAGAAGAAUAUUGGAGCUUCGUUCCUUCAGAUCAACAGCAGUGGUCCUCUUCUGCAGCACCGUUUAGAAUGUGCCUCCAUGGUUCUCUUGUUCCCAGCUUCCAAAAGGAUAAAAAGCCUCGGUUUAGACAGAACAUGGACUCAUGACAUGUGACGUGCCCUGCUCUCUGGUCUAAUUCACACGCCCACCUAUCAGGCCAUCAUUCCAAAGUUGGCAACACUUCACCCUUCUCUGAAAAGGGUGUGUUUGAGACAAGGGUUAGCCUCUGGGUGUCGGUAAGGAGUUACUGUGACCCUAAAUCUGAACCAGCUCGUGACACUCAGAGUAAAUAGAUUUCAGAUUCCGAAACUUCUGAGAGGAAUUUUGUAUCGAUGGUGACAACCCAAAGAAAAUUUGUCACCUGGUCAAAGCUUACAAUGUUUUAUCAAAAUAUGUCCCUUCAAGAAUAAAAUUAUUAGAAGAAUCGGGAGGGAAGAGAAAUAGGUUUCUCAAUGAUUAUCAGUAGAAAUGAGGAGCGCAUUCUAAAACUUGACCCAGGAGAGCCAUGUGGUACCCAACGUCUCCAGUUCUCCCAGGAGAGCCAUGUGGUACCCAACGUCUCCAGUUCUCCCAGGAGAGCCAUGUGGUACCCAACGUCUCCAGUUCUCCCAGGAGAGCCAUGUGGUACCCAACGUCUCCAGUUCUCCCAGGAGAGCCAUGUGGUAUCCGAAGUCUCCAGUUCUCCCAGGACAGCCAUGUGAUAUCCGAAGUCUCCAGUCCUCCCUGGAGACAGAAUGCAAUAAAAACAGUU
This is an RNA transcript of Eubalaena glacialis (North Atlantic right whale), 2718 nucleotides long. It is a transcript of the gene named family with sequence similarity 110 member C, with no coding region annotated. Lineage: Eukaryota; Metazoa; Chordata; Mammalia; Artiodactyla; Balaenidae. The record is from RefSeq and is a predicted model, not a curated record. The transcript is spliced from 3 exons.